GACAAACGCUGGCGGCGUGCAUAAAACAUGCAAGUCGAACGGCCGCUUCGGCGGCAGUGGCAGACGGCUGAGUAACGCGUGGAAACCUGCCCGGGCGUGGGGGAUAAGCCCUCGAAAGAGGGUCUAAUACCGCAUACGGUAGCUUCGGCUAAGAAAGCUUUAAGCGCGCUCGGAGGGGUCCGCGUCCGAUUAGCUAGUUGGUGGGGUAAGGGCCUACCAAGGCGACGAUCGGUAGCUGGCUGAGAGGAUGAUCAGCCAGACUGGGACUGGGACACGGCCCAGACUCCUACGGGAGGCAGCAGUUAGGAAUUUUGGGCAAUGGCCGCAAGGCUGACCCAGCAACGCCGCGUGGGGGAUGAAGGCUCUUGGGUUGUAAACCCCUUUUCCAGGGACGAUCGUGACGGUACCUGGGGAAGAAGCCCCGGCUAACUACGUGCCAGCCGCCGCGGUAAG
RNAcentral lists this ribosomal RNA (453 nucleotides) under uncultured bacterium. Its description in RNAcentral is "bacterial SSU rRNA". It matches the Rfam family "Bacterial small subunit ribosomal RNA", at positions 28 to 524 of the family's 1533-position model. The record is from RNAcentral.